GAUUCACACACGGUCCCAAGCACCUCAGGCUGAAGCACGGAGCAUUUCUGGUCCAGUUAUUACGUGUAAUCUUAUGUUUGCAGAGUAUUAAUGCUUGAAACAAAAUGCCAUCGCAAAUUAUUCGAUCGUAUUCCGGACGUGUGCUUGUGUUAACAAUAACAGUUGCAGCUGUUUACGCAAUUGUUUGUUUCAACGGAUCAAAGUCUGACCUGGACGGGAAACUUGGUGACAUUCAAACCUCCAUUCGUAAGCUGUCUUUGGACAUCAAAGGGGCGGUGAAUGAGGUGCAUCUUCCAGUUGAAGUGAGGGCCGAACCGUUGCCUCAAUCACAGCCGUUUAAGAAGAUGCCUUCCUGGCACGGAAUUGCGUACAAAAGAACGAACGGGUCAUGGGUAGCAGACGACAGUAUGUGUACGGAGGAUGAGGUGUAUGAUGAGGCGACUCUAAAAACACCUGCUGGAAAUACGCGCAUCUUUAUCCACGCCAUCAAGGACGAUAUCGUUGUUUCGAACACUCUGAAGAAAGUUGGCGUUUGGGAGCCGGAUGUCAUGUACACUUCUUUUGAAAUACUGAAAGAAAAUAAAGAACACGUUUUCAUCGAUGUCGGGGGAAAUAUUGGAACAUUCAGUCUCGCUGCAGCUAAACUAGGGAACAGGGUCAUCUCCGUUGAACCGUAUGAUGUCAACACCAAACGCCUGUGCCGAGGUGUGGUAAAAGGUGGGUUUGCUGGACAGAUGUUUGUCAUACACAACGCAAUGUCUGAUGUAAGGCAACCCAUCGCCUUUAAGAUUUACAAGGGUAGUAUUGCCCAUACUCGUAUUGAGAAGAAAACUAACCUCAAUCAAAGCAGCGACGCGAUAACCACCAUUCAGAUGAACGAUCUUUUGGAGAUGUUUGAUAUCAAGUCCGCUGUUUUGAAACUUGACUGUGAGGACCACGAAGUACAGGUGAUGAAGGGUGCUGAGGCGUUCUUCAAUGUGGUUGACGUGCGCAUGGUAAUUAUUGAAUGGGACAAACUUUUCCAAAACCCAGAAGCACCAUAUAUAAUAGAAAUGAUGAAACGAUUCAAGUUGAAACCCUAUACGAUUGGCAAAGAUGCGAAGCCUUUUAACAAGUCUGACUAUACUCUGAGUAGAAGGAACAUUGUGUUCAAAAAGGAAUAACACAUGAAUAUACAUAUCUCAUGUAAGUUUUAAUUAGUCAUAGUGCAUCAAAUACAUGGCUUCAUAUGCAUGUGUCAUGUGACAAAAAAAGAGGGAUGACUUCAACUUUGCAAUAUAAUAAACUUUCCCUUGAUGUCGAAUAAUUUUCCAGCCUCUUUUCCAGUGUCUUGGCUUCACAACUUUUGAGCAAAAUCAGUGAACCAGGACGAAGAAUAUUUCCUGAAGUAAGACGAUGAUUGAAACGUUUGGCAGACAGGCUUGAUGAAGACUAUAAAUAUUAUCAGCAAACUAAAAGGAAAAGUGCAGGCAUUUGCACAGCUGGUGGUUUAUUUACACUCACUGGGUUCCUGGUUGCACCUCCAGUAGCCAUAGCAGGUGCAGUGCUCGGACUUGCGGGUGGAGUUUCUGGAGCAGCCAUCCAUAUUACUGAACAGUCUUCUGUCAACGCGCAUGUUGACGGGGAAUUAGCUCUUGGGGGAAUCAAGGACAAAAUCGACAUCACUGUCCCGGAACGUUUCAUGCACAACAUGUAAACAAUAAACAACAAGUA
This 1713-nucleotide unclassified non-coding RNA is filed under the name Haliotis rufescens (red abalone). Its description in RNAcentral is "uncharacterized LOC124121187, transcript variant X2". The record is from RNAcentral. Lineage: Eukaryota; Metazoa; Mollusca; Gastropoda; Lepetellida; Haliotidae.